Molecule: long non-coding RNA, 212 nt
Organism: Saccostrea cuccullata (small rock oyster)
Lineage: Eukaryota; Metazoa; Mollusca; Bivalvia; Ostreida; Ostreidae
Exons: 5
Source: RefSeq, a predicted model, not a curated record
CGACUACAUCAUCAGGAGGUUCAGGAAAUUCAUCAAUUAUUGAGACAACGACCACAUUAUCAGGAGGUUCAGCAAAUUCAUCACUUAAUGAGACAACGACUACAUCAUCCGGAGGUUCAGGAAAUUCAUCAAUUAUUGAGACAACGACCACAUUAUCAGGAGGUUCAGCAAAUUCAUCACUUAAUGAGACAACGACUACAUCAUCCGGAGGU